GUCCCCGUAGCCCAACGGCAGAGGCAGGCGGCUUAAACCCGCCCCAGUGUCGGUUCGAAUCCGAUCGGGGACA
Molecule: transfer RNA, 73 nt
Filed under: Propionibacteriaceae bacterium
Lineage: Bacteria; Bacillati; Actinomycetota; Actinomycetes; Propionibacteriales; Propionibacteriaceae
Description: tRNA-Leu
Rfam family: tRNA
About the family: Transfer RNA (tRNA) molecules are approximately 80 nucleotides in length. Their secondary structure includes four short double-helical elements and three loops (D, anti-codon, and T loops). Further hydrogen bonds mediate the characteristic L-shaped molecular structure. tRNAs have two regions of fundamental functional importance: the anti-codon, which is responsible for specific mRNA codon recognition, and the 3' end, to which the tRNAs corresponding amino acid is attached (by aminoacyl-tRNA synthetases). tRNAs cope with the degeneracy of the genetic code in two manners: having more than one tRNA (with a specific anti-codon) for a particular amino acid; and 'wobble' base-pairing, i.e. permitting non-standard base-pairing at the 3rd anti-codon position.
Source: RNAcentral